RNAcentral lists this ribosomal RNA (1182 nucleotides) under uncultured Gammaproteobacteria bacterium. RNAcentral describes it as "bacterial SSU rRNA". It matches the Rfam family "Bacterial small subunit ribosomal RNA", at positions 1 to 1148 of the family's 1533-position model. The record is from RNAcentral. Lineage: Bacteria; Pseudomonadati; Pseudomonadota; Gammaproteobacteria.
CCUUGCUGCGCGUAUUCUGCCUUGAGUUUGAUCCUGGCUCAGAUUGAACGCUGGCGGCAGGCCUAACACAUGCAAGCCGAGCGGAUGAAGGGAGCUUGCUCUCUGAUUCAGCGGCGGACGGGUGAGUAAUGCCUAGGAAUCUGCCUGAUAGUGGGGGACAACGUUUCGAAAGGAACGCUAAUACCGCAUACGUCCUACGGGAGAAAGCAGGGGACCUUCGGGCCUUGCGCUAUCAGAUGAGCCUAGGUCGGAUUAGCUAGUUGGUGAGGUAACGGCUCACCAAGGCGACGAUCCGUAACUGGUCUGAGAGGAUGAUCAGUCACACUGGAACUGAAACACGGUCCAGACUCCUACGGGAGGCAGCAGUGGGGAAUAUUGGACAAUGGACGAAAGCCUGAUCCAGCCAUGCCGCGUGUGUGAAGAAGGUCUUCGGAUUGUAAAGCACUUUAAGUUGGGAGGAAGGGCAUUAACCUAAUACGUUAGUGUUUUGACGUUACCGACAGAAUAAGCACCGGCUAACUUCGUGCCAGCAGCCGCGGUAAUACGAAGGGUGCAAGCGUUAAUCGGAAUUACUGGGCGUAAAGCGCGCGUAGGUGGUUUGUUAAGUUGAAUGUGAAAGCCCCGGGCUCAACCUGGGAACUGCAUCCAAAACUGGCAAGCUAGAGUAUGGCAGAGGGUGGUGGAAUUUCCUGUGUAGCGGUGAAAUGCGUACAUAUAGGAAGGAACACUAGUGGCGAAUGCGACCACCUGGGCUAAUACUGACACUGAGGUGCGAAAGCGUGGGGAGCAAACAGGAUUAGAUACCCUGGUAGUCCACGCCGUAAACGACGUCGACUAGCCGUUGGGAUCCUUGAGAUCUUAGUGGCGCAGCUAACGCAUUUAAGUCGACCGCCUGGGGAGUACUGGCCGCAAGGUUAUAACUCAAAUGGACUUGACGGGGGACCCGCUACAAUCAGUUGAGCAUGUGCUGUCACUUCGGAGGCGACGCGAGAUCUUUAUCAGGCUUGACAUGCAGACGAACUUUCCGAGAUGAUGGAUCGGUGCCUUCGCGGACUCUGACUCAGGGUGCUGCAUGCCUGUCGGUCAGCCUCGUGUCGUGAGAUGUCGGAUAGUUCCCGUACGAGGGCAGCUAUGUCUUGAUAACAGCCACGCCUUAUAGGGCGUGUCACCUCUACUUAAGGC